RNAcentral lists this ribosomal RNA (344 nucleotides) under Dina sivricensis. Its description in RNAcentral is "partial 12S ribosomal RNA". The record is from RNAcentral. Lineage: Eukaryota; Metazoa; Annelida; Clitellata; Hirudinida; Erpobdellidae.
UGGGGACUACAAGCAAUUGCUUAAAAACCCAAGAUUUUGGCGGUGUCUUAUUCUAUCAGAGGGAUCUGUCUCGUAAUCGACAACCCACGAAACAAUUAUCUUAUUUUGAUUAUGAGCUUGUGUACUGCCGUUUGUAUAGGCCCUUAAGGUUACCUAUAAUUAACUUAAUUAAGUUUUAUGACAGGUCAAAGUGCAGCAAAUAUUAAGAAGAAGAUGGAUUACAUUCUAUAACAUAGUCUAUAAAUAUGGUUAAACCAUUUUUUAUGAAGAAUUUGAUAGUAAUAUUAUCUAUGUGGUACUAUGAAUAAGAUCUUAAGACAAGCACACAUCGCCCGUCGCUCUUA